This 361-nucleotide unclassified non-coding RNA is filed under the name soil metagenome. RNAcentral describes it as "partial contains 5.8S ribosomal RNA, internal transcribed spacer 2, and large subunit ribosomal RNA". The stretch from base 1 to 120 matches the Rfam family "5.8S ribosomal RNA", at positions 35 to 154 of the family's 154-position model. The record is from RNAcentral.
GAUGAAGAACGUAGCGAAAUGCGAUAAGUAAUGUGAAUUGCAGAAUUUAGUGAAUCAUCGAAUCUUUGAACGCAUAUUGCGCCCGCCAGCACUCUGGCGGGCAUGCCUGUUCGAGCGUCAUUUCAACCCUCAGGCCUCGCGUCUGGCGUUGGGGCGCUGCGGCCCUCCCGCAGGCCCCCAAAUUUAGCGGCGGAUUCCCCGCGGCCCUGAGCGCAGUAGAGAGUAAAAACUUUAACGCUCCGGCGGCCGUGGCGCGGUUCUGCCUCUUUCCCAAUAGCGCCAAUAGCGCCACCCCCAAAAAAGUUGACCUCGGAUCAGGUAGGACUACCCGCUGAACUUAAGCAUAUCAAUAAGCGGAGGA